GAUGAAUGCUGGCGGCGUGCCUUAGGCAUGCAAGUCAAGGGGGCACUAAAAAAUCGUAAGAUUUUUCAGUGCAACCGGCAGACGGGUGAGUAACGCGUAGGAAUCUACCUCUAGGUGGGACAUAGCUAUCCGAAAGGAUAGGUAAUUUCCCAUAGUCUCGUAAGAGUAAAGGACUUAACGGUCCGCCAAGAGAGGAGCCUGCGUCCUAUCAGCUUGUUGGUGGGGUAAAAGCCUACCAAGGCGAUGACGGGUAGCUGGACUGAGAGGUCGAUCAGCCACAACUGCACUGAAACACGGGCAGUACAUCUACGGAUGGCAGCAACCGGGAAUAUUGCGCAAUGGGGGAAACCCUGACGCAGCGACGCCGCGUGAAGGAUGAAGGCCUAUGGGUCGUAAACUUCUUUUGAUAAGCCGUUCACAGCUUAUAGAAUAAGCCUCUACUAACUACGUGCCAGAAGUCUCGGUAAUACGUAGGAGGCAAGCAUUAUCCGGAUUCAUUGGGCGUAAAGUGUGCGUAGGCGGUAUCGUGUGUCGUAUCUUAAAGACCAAGGCUUAACCUCGGAUCUGGGUACGAAACUGCGAUACUUGAGGUUUGACAGGGAUGCUAGAACAGUUAGUGUAGCAGUGAAAUGCGUUGAUAUUAACUGGAAUACCAAAGGCGAAGGCAGGCAUCUGGGUUUUACCUGACGCUGAGGCACGAAAGCUGGGGGAGCGAAACAGAUUAGAUACCUGUGUAGUCCUAGCUGUAAACGAUGUCCGCUAGCUAUCACUCACCAAGGGUGAGAAUAGCCAAUAAAUACCAAUUUCAAAUAAAUACCAAUAAUCCAAUAAUAAUUGGAAAUUGAAAAUUUGACAUUUGUAGUAUUGGAAAUUCCAAAAGUUCGCACUUUUGGUGAGUGGUGGUGUAAGCUAACGCGUUAAGCGGACCGCCUGGGGAGUACGGUCGCAAGACUAAAACUCAAAGGAAUUGACGGGGACCCGCACAACCUGUGGAGCGUGUGGUUCAAUUCGAGACAAAACGAAGAACCUCACCAAGGUUUGACAUACUAUCGUACAUUUCCUAAGAAACUAGGAGAAAUCCGUAAGGAUGAUAGUACAGGUGCUGCAUGGCUGUCGUCAGCUCGUGCCGUGAGGUGUUCCCUUAAGUGGGGAAACGAGCGCAACCCCCGCCAAAUGUUAAAUAUUCAUUUGGGACUAUCCUGUAUUUUAUACAGGGGGGAAGGAGGGGAAGACGUCAAGUCAGCACGGCCCUUAUACCUUGGGCCACACACACACUACAAUGGCGAACAACAACGAGUUGCAAGCGCGCGAGUGCAAGCUAAUCUCUAAAAUUUCGCCUCAGUUCAGAUUGGAGUCUGAAACUCGACUCCAUGAAGCCGGAAUAGGUAGUAAUCGCGGAUCAGCAAGCCGCGGUGAAUACGUUCUCGGGUCU
Molecule: ribosomal RNA, 1432 nt
Filed under: uncultured soil bacterium
Lineage: Bacteria
Description: bacterial SSU rRNA
Rfam family: Bacterial small subunit ribosomal RNA
Source: RNAcentral